GAUGAAGAACGUAGCGAAAUGCGAUAAGUAAUGUGAAUUGCAGAAUUCAGUGAAUCAUCGAAUCUUUGAACGCACAUUGCGCCCCCUGGUAUUCCGGGGGGCAUGCCUGUCCGAGCGUCAUUACAACCCUCAAGCUCAGCUUGGUGUUGGGCCCCGCCGCCCCGGCGGGCCCUAAAGCCAGUGGCGGUGCCGUCCGGCUCCGAGCGUAGUAAUUCUUCUCGCUCUGGAGGUCCGGUCGUGUGCUCGCCAGCAACCCCCAAUUUUUUUCAGGUUGACCUCGGAUCAGGUAGGGAUACCCGCUGAACUUAAGCAUAUCAAUAAGCGGAGGA
RNAcentral lists this unclassified non-coding RNA (329 nucleotides) under soil metagenome. RNAcentral describes it as "partial contains 5.8S ribosomal RNA, internal transcribed spacer 2, and large subunit ribosomal RNA". The stretch from base 1 to 120 matches the Rfam family "5.8S ribosomal RNA", at positions 35 to 154 of the family's 154-position model. The record is from RNAcentral.